CUGAGGAAGUUUAUCAAGUGGACGGCGC
Molecule: non-coding RNA, 28 nt
Filed under: Rattus norvegicus (Norway rat)
Lineage: Eukaryota; Metazoa; Chordata; Mammalia; Rodentia; Muridae
Source: RNAcentral